GACGAACGCUGGCGGCGUGCUUAACACAUGCAAGUCGAACGGAAAGGCCCUGCUUUUGUGGGGUGCUCGAGUGGCGAACGGGUGAGUAACACGUGAGUAACCUGCCCUUGACUUUGGGAUAACUUCAGGAAACAGGGGCGAAUACCGGAUAUGAGCUCCUGCUGCAUGGGGUGGGUUGGAAAGUUUCGGCGGUUGGGGAUGGAAUAGCGGCUUAUCCGCUUGUUGGUGGGGUAGUUGCUUACCAAGGCUUUGACGGGUAGGCGGCCUGGGAGCGUGACCGGCCACAAUGGGCCUGAGAGAGGGACCAGAAUCGAACGGGAGGCAGCAGUGGGGAAUAUUGCACAAUGGGCGGAAGCCUGAUGCAGCAACGCUGCGUGCGUGAUGACGGCCUACGGGUUGUAAACCGCUUUCGCCUGUGACGAAGCCGGAGUGACGGUAAUGGGUAAAGAAGCACCGGCUAACUACGUG
Molecule: ribosomal RNA, 468 nt
Filed under: uncultured bacterium
Lineage: Bacteria
Description: partial 16S ribosomal RNA
Rfam family: Bacterial small subunit ribosomal RNA
Source: RNAcentral